This 1045-nucleotide ribosomal RNA is filed under the name Phocaeicola vulgatus. Its description in RNAcentral is "bacterial SSU rRNA". It matches the Rfam family "Bacterial small subunit ribosomal RNA", at positions 461 to 1520 of the family's 1533-position model. The record is from RNAcentral. Lineage: Bacteria; Pseudomonadati; Bacteroidota; Bacteroidia; Bacteroidales; Bacteroidaceae. RNAcentral also lists the same sequence under 1 other name.
AUACCCGUUUGCAUGUACUUUAUGAAUAAGGAUCGGCUAACUCCGUGCCAGCAGCCGCGGUAAUACGGAGGAUCCGAGCGUUAUCCGGAUUUAUUGGGUUUAAAGGGAGCGUAGAUGGAUGUUUAAGUCAGUUGUGAAAGUUUGCGGCUCAACCGUAAAAUUGCAGUUGAUACUGGAUAUCUUGAGUGCAGUUGAGGCAGGCGGAAUUCGUGGUGUAGCGGUGAAAUGCUUAGAUAUCACGAAGAACUCCGAUUGCGAAGGCAGCCUGCUAAGCUGCAACUGACAUUGAGGCUCGAAAGUGUGGGUAUCAAACAGGAUUAGAUACCCUGGUAGUCCACACGGUAAACGAUGAAUACUCGCUGUUUGCGAUAUACUGCAAGCGGCCAAGCGAAAGCGUUAAGUAUUCCACCUGGGGAGUACGCCGGCAACGGUGAAACUCAAAGGAAUUGACGGGGGCCCGCACAAGCGGAGGAACAUGUGGUUUAAUUCGAUGAUACGCGAGGAACCUUACCCGGGCUUAAAUUGCAGAUGAAUUACGGUGAAAGCCGUAAGCCGCAAGGCAUCUGUGAAGGUGCUGCAUGGUUGUCGUCAGCUCGUGCCGUGAGGUGUCGGCUUAAGUGCCAUAACGAGCGCAACCCUUGUUGUCAGUUACUAACAGGUUCCGCUGAGGACUCUGACAAGACUGCCAUCGUAAGAUGUGAGGAAGGUGGGGAUGACGUCAAAUCAGCACGGCCCUUACGUCCGGGGCUACACACGUGUUACAAUGGGGGGUACAGAGGGCCGCUACCACGCGAGUGGAUGCCAAUCCCCAAAACCUCUCUCAGUUCGGACUGGAGUCUGCAACCCGACUCCACGAAGCUGGAUUCGCUAGUAAUCGCGCAUCAGCCACGGCGCGGUGAAUACGUUCCCGGGCCUUGUACACACCGCCCGUCAAGCCAUGGGAGCCGGGGGUACCUGAAGUGCGUAACCGCGAGGAGCGCCCUAGGGUAAAACUGGUGACUGGGGCUAAGUCGUAACAAGGUAGCCGUACCGGAAGGUGCGGCUG